UUACCUACGGGGGGCAGCAGUGAGGAAUAUUGGUCAAUGGGCGGGAGCCUGAACCAGCCAAGUCGCGUGAGGGAAGACGGUCCUAUGGAUUGUAAACCUCUUUAAGCGGGGAGCAAUGCCGGGCACGCGUGCCCGGAGGGAGAGUACCCGCAGAAUAAGCAUCGGCUAACUCCGUGCCAGCAGCCGCGGUAAUACGGCGGAUGCGAGCGUUAUCCGGAUUUAUUGGGUUUAAAGGGUGCGUAGGCGGACUGCCAAGUCAGCGGUAAUAUUGCGGGGCUCAACCCCGUCGAGCCGUCGAAACUGGC
This 305-nucleotide ribosomal RNA is filed under the name uncultured bacterium. RNAcentral's name for it is "bacterial SSU rRNA". It matches the Rfam family "Bacterial small subunit ribosomal RNA", at positions 335 to 637 of the family's 1533-position model. The record is from RNAcentral.